UUUCCGUAGGUGAACCUGCGGAAGGAUCAUUAUUGUAUAACCGAGGUGCGAGGGCUGUCGCUGACCCGAAAGGUCGUGCACGCCCGAGUGCCCUCACACACAUCCAUCUCACCCCUAUGUGCACCACCGCGUGGGUCCCCCUUUGGCUUGUUCGGAGGGGGGCUUACGUUUUCACACAAACUUUGUAUGCAGUGUAGAAUGUAUUUCUUGUUUUUGCAAUCACGCAAUCAAUACAACUUUCAACAACGGAUCUCUUGGCUCUC
RNAcentral lists this unclassified non-coding RNA (263 nucleotides) under plant metagenome. RNAcentral describes it as "partial contains small subunit ribosomal RNA, internal transcribed spacer 1, and 5.8S ribosomal RNA". The record is from RNAcentral.